This 253-nucleotide ribosomal RNA is filed under the name uncultured bacterium. Its description in RNAcentral is "partial 16S ribosomal RNA". It matches the Rfam family "Bacterial small subunit ribosomal RNA", at positions 524 to 776 of the family's 1533-position model. The record is from RNAcentral.
UACAGAGGUCCCAAGCGUUGUUCGGAUUCACUGGGCGUAAAGGGUGCGUAGGCGGUCGGGUAAGUUUGAUGUGAAAUCUCCGAGCUUAACUCGGAAAUGGCAUUGAAUACUAUUCGGCUAGAGAGUCGGAGGGGGGACUGGAAUACUUGGUGUAGCAGUGAAAUGCGUAGAUAUCAAGUGGAACACCAGUGGCGAAGGCGAGUCCCUGGACGAUUUCUGACGCUGAGGCACGAAAGCUAGGGGAGCAAACAGG